AAUUUUGAACCACCCCCUGCAGUUAGUCUAGCAGAUGCUCCACAGUCCAUCAAAUCAAUUCAUUGUUGAUUCUUCCUGAACUCAGUAAGAACUGGGUAUAUGUUCUCAAAGGCAGUGUAUGUCUCAUCUCUAACCUUGGCUCCUGUGAUGACAAUUUUCCCAGAAACAAAAAUAAGAAGCACUAUUUUUGGUUGUUUCAUGCGAUAUAUUAAUCCAGGAAAUAGUUCUGGCUCGUAACUUGAGAAAGCACCGUGGGCAUAAGCAAGGCCUUCAAGUCGAAUAGGAAAUUUAACAUCACAAGAACCAACUAUAUUCUGGAUCUUAAAAUCCUUAAACUUGGCUGGAAAACCAAGCUUUUGAAUGAUUCUAGCAUAUUUCCGGGCUGCCAACUUUGACUGUUGUUCACUUUUGGCUCCAGUACAAACCAUUUUCCCAGAAGCGAAAAUCAAUGCUGUAGUUUUUGGUUCUCUAAUUCUCAUGAUCACUGCAGCAAAACGCUUCGGAUUGUACUCUGCAUUUCGAGCUUGAAGUGCAAUAGCUUUUAGGUCCAACUUGCAGUCCAAAUUAACCGUUGAGACAAUAUUCUGGAGCGUAGGGACUAUUCCAGAAGGGUGCUUGGUAAGAUCCACUGGCUGGCUCCCCUCUAAUCCCUGAUCUGCCAUUCCUCUUUUGACCUAGUCCCUUCCGUACACAAAACUCUACAAAGUGAAAAAAUCUAAAACUAGGGUUUGCUGAAAUUCGAGGAUUUUGUUUGUUGUUGUUGUAGCGGGUAAAGAAUUUGAAAGAAGGAUUCUUUUAUAUGAAAGAUCUUUGUAGAGCGAAAGGAAGGAUGAAUAUAUAUAGAGAGAGGGAGGGUAAAGGGAAGGAAGAGUUGUG
RNAcentral lists this unclassified non-coding RNA (876 nucleotides) under Hevea brasiliensis (rubber tree). The record is from RNAcentral. Lineage: Eukaryota; Viridiplantae; Streptophyta; Magnoliopsida; Malpighiales; Euphorbiaceae.